AGUGAACGCUGGCGGCGUGCUUAACACAUGCAAGUCGAACGAGAACGGGCUAUAGCUUGCUAUAGUUGUCAGCUAAGUGGCGCACGGGUGAGUAAUGUAUAGGUAAUAUGCCUCUUACUAAGGGAUAACAAAUGGAAACGUUUGCUAAUACCUUAUACUCCUUAUUAACAGAAGUUAGUAAGGGAAAGAUUUAUUGGUAAGAGAUUAGCCUGUAUUGUAUCAGUUAGUUGGUGGGGUAAUGGCUUACCAAGACUAUGACACAUAACUGGUUUGAGAGGAUGAUCAGUCACACUGGAACGGAGACACGGUCCAGACUCCUACGGGAGGCAGCAGUGGGGAAUAUUGCACAAUGGACGAAAGUCUGAUGCAGCAACGCCGCGUGGAGGAUGACACAUUUCGGUGCGUAAACUCCUUUUAUAUGAGAAGAUAAUGACGGUAUUAUAUGAAUAAGCACAGGCUAACUCCGUGCCAGCCGCCGCCGUAA
RNAcentral lists this ribosomal RNA (484 nucleotides) under uncultured bacterium. RNAcentral's name for it is "partial 16S ribosomal RNA". It matches the Rfam family "Bacterial small subunit ribosomal RNA", at positions 29 to 523 of the family's 1533-position model. The record is from RNAcentral.